UCUACCUUUGGCAAAGUCUUCACCAAUGUGCUCUCAGCAGCGUCCCAAAAUUCCCUGCCAUGCAGGUGAAGACCAGAGCAGAUACUGUGUAAUUCUUUUAGCAGGACAGUGUAACUAUUUUGUACGUUGGCAAACUCAAAUAGACAAAUUCCAAACUAAAUGACCUUAAUUUUAAUGGCUAAUGUUGUGUUUUUUAGAGUGUACCUGAUCUGUGGUGGUUCCUCACCCUCCUGUGGGUUCCUCACCACUGAAGACCAAGGUUUCGUAUGCAGAGAAACAGAAGGACUACACUGUACUACAGACUUUACAGGUUGACUGGCUGUAAUCAGUGGAUAUAAGUGGCCCAUACUUGCCGCAGGACUAAAGAAGCAGACUUUGUCUUGGACAAUCCACUACGUAUAAAGGUACCAGGUUCUUGCCAAUAUACCGGGUAGGGCCUCACAAUCAGACCUCACUCCAACUGAGAUUAUUCACUUUACCUUGCCAUGAGCACGUUGGCCAGGUUUUAGCUUAACUUA
RNAcentral lists this long non-coding RNA (518 nucleotides) under Astyanax mexicanus (Mexican tetra). RNAcentral describes it as "lncRNA (ENSAMXG00005023454.1)". Lineage: Eukaryota; Metazoa; Chordata; Actinopteri; Characiformes; Acestrorhamphidae. The record is from RNAcentral.